This 1268-nucleotide long non-coding RNA is filed under the name Physcomitrium patens. RNAcentral describes it as "long non-coding RNA (PPAT_LNC005129)". Lineage: Eukaryota; Viridiplantae; Streptophyta; Bryopsida; Funariales; Funariaceae. The record is from RNAcentral.
AGAUUGUUGAGAUUCCUCGGUUCAGCUCGUUCUUGUUGUGGUGCUGCAGAGAAGGAGCCCUUGAUCUUGGACGUCACAGGGUCCUGUUUAGGAUAGCUGUCUCUCUCGUACGCAACUCAUCUUUCUUUAGAGUCUGCUAGUCUGUGAAGUUUAUCUUAUUUUAGUCUGUGUCUGCAUCUUCCCGUUCUGUUUUUGUGGUAUAACAUCCAUUAAGUGCUCAAAUAGGUAGUAAUAAAUGCAUCCCUUAUAUUUCUUCUAGUCAGUAUAAGGACUUAUCACGUAUAACCUUUCGUUGUGAUUUUGUUCAAACUCGGGGGUGGUUAUCGAACACACAGGCCUUGGAGUUAUAUUUUUUAGGAGACUAGAUUUUUUUUGAAAAUUCGGCAGCAACACGUUUGUGAUGCGACUUUUCUUCCGACAACCACGACUGGUUACAUAGUUUCUGCUUCUACGCAACCUUGUGGUUCGAUUUCUUUCCUGUGGCUUCGGUCAGUUAUCUAAUCUUUUCACGUUCUGAAAGUCGUGAGCAACGGCUUUGCUUCCAGAGGAGUGGUAGAAUAGUCACCCUUUCCCUCUGUUUUACAGCAAACCUACUGUGCUGAUGUUUUAUUUUUGGUGCAUCUUACCUGGACCUCAUCUCUUCUGUCGAACACUUCGAUGCAAUGUAUUGCUCUUUCAGAUACUCAGGGAGAGUCUUAAAUGAAAAGAGUGCCAAGAUACUUAUAACCGUUUGUAGUGACGUGAAUGUACAGACGUUGGUCGUGGCUUCCACGUAAGAUCCUGCACCACAAUCUGUUAAACACAAAUGAAAUCUGUACUGAGUGAUUACUGCAAGAAUUCUAAAUCCUACUGGAACAUACUAAUAGCAACAACUUAAGCUGAUAAAAAUGAAUGUAAAACAGUAACACAAUAUUCGUUUGAUAUAUGUACCUGUAAUACAUAAAACGAAUAAUAGUAAUCUUUAAAUUUUGAAAUAAGGAAUAAAUUUAAAUUGUUUAUUUAUUUUAUAUAUACAUGAUAGAUAAUAUUAGAAUUUAUAUCUAUGUAUGUAAGUAUGUGUAUAUAUCAACAUAGUUAAAUAAAACAUCAAAGUAUUUUUUUAAAAAAAGAACAUAGUAUGUUUCUAUUCAUCUAGUAAGAUUUUUACAACAAUGAAUAUAUCAAUUUAUCAACCUAUAAUAAUAUUUAGUCUUGAUAUUAAAUUAAACUGUAAUAAAAUUAAAUUAGAAGUUAAUAAUACUAUAUAUUUUUAAUGUAAUAUUCUACUU